CUGGCACCGCUUUGCCAACCAAGAAGACGUCGCAUAGUUUUACUCGUUAGAUUGUUUAGGUAUAUAAAUGUUAAAUUUUAAAUGACUCUCUCCGAACUAACACCGACUCAUAAUUAUUUCUUUAUUUUUUAAGAUUAAAGAAAUAAUACACGAUUAUGUUUAAUAUAAUUAUUCAACUAUGGAUGCUUUUCGCGCGUUUAUUGUAACGCCAUCUGUGAUAGCGUUAUAUGAAAUAAUAUAAUAUUUGCCGCAUUUGCAGUCGCAAUUAAUCUCAUCAUGAAAAUAUAAUUAGAUGUUGUAUGGAGCAAUUAUUACUAGCGACUCGUAUUCUAACCAAACAAUUGACGACAUUCCAAGAACGUCAACUUUCUCUUGUAAUCAUAAAUAAUUGCAACGCAACGUUCAUACAAAGAGAAAACGAUGCAAUAAGAAGAGAUUCUCGAUAUAACCAUCAGCUAGAAGCUGAGUGGAGAGCCGUUCAGCCACAAAUUCAGCAUCGGUUUGGUGGUUUAUCGAGGCAAUUUACAAAUUGGCUUCCGUUCCAGCGUUUCUUAGGCGCCCAGAAAUGAUUAGACCUCGCUGGACGGGGCACCGUUUAUUCAAGCUUGCUUCUGCGAACGGCUUCUAUUAGUAUUUCUGGCCUCACUCCACCCUCGUUGGAUAGCAUAUGGUUAACCAAAAUCUUCUGAAUGCCCAUUAACAUAACGUCGAUACGCACCUGCUCGACGAAAAACGCAAAAUCGAAAGACGAGUA
RNAcentral lists this unclassified non-coding RNA (754 nucleotides) under Bombus terrestris (buff-tailed bumblebee). RNAcentral's name for it is "misc RNA ENSBTSG00005026071.1". Lineage: Eukaryota; Metazoa; Arthropoda; Insecta; Hymenoptera; Apidae. The record is from RNAcentral.